ACGAACACUGAAGUUAAUCAAUGUCGAGCCUAGUCAGUACUUAGAUGGUUGAUCGCUUGGGAAUACCAGGUGCUGCAAGC
This is a non-coding RNA of Acanthosepion pharaonis, 80 nucleotides long. NCBI's taxonomy places the organism in Eukaryota, Metazoa, Mollusca, Cephalopoda, Sepiida, Sepiidae. The record is from the annotation of a GenBank genome assembly.